This 1492-nucleotide ribosomal RNA is filed under the name metagenome. RNAcentral's name for it is "bacterial LSU rRNA". It matches the Rfam family "Bacterial large subunit ribosomal RNA", at positions 680 to 2137 of the family's 2925-position model. The record is from RNAcentral.
AGUCCGAAACGGGCGAUUAGUUGCGUGUAUUAUAACCCGAAGCGGGGUGAUCUACACUUGGCCAGGAUGAAGCGUGGGUAAAGCCACGUGGAGGUCCGAACUCAUGGAGGUUGAAAACUUCUGGGAUGAGCUGAGUGUAGGGGUGAAAGGCCAAUCAAACUCCGUGAUAGCUGGUUCUCACCGAAAGAUAUUUAGGUAUCGUCUUGAGUCAUUCAGUGGCGGAGGUAGAGCACUGGAACGGCUAGGGGUCUCACCAGAUUACCAAACCGUACCAAACUCCGAAUGCCGCCAACUGUUAUCUCAGGAAGCAGUCAGUGGGUGAUAACGUCCAUUGGCAAGAGGGGAAUAACCCAGACCGACAGCUAAGGCCCCCAAAUCUAGACUAAGUGAACACUAGAAAGGAUGUGGCAGGUCAUUGACAACCAGGAGGUUGGCUUAGAAGCAGCCAUCCUUUAAAGAAAGCGUAAUAGCUCACUGGUCAAGACAGGCCGCGCCGAAAAUGUAACGGGGCUCAAGUCUAGUGCCGAAGCUUCGGGUCAUGCAUGUUUUGACAUGCAUGGCGGUAGGUGAGCGUCCCAACUGCAGCGAAGCCAGACCGUAAGGGCUGGUGGAGCGGUUGGAAGUGCUGAUGCCGAAAUGAGUAGCGAUAAAGGGGGUGAGAAACCCCCUCGCCGUAAACCCAAGGUUUCCUGGGGCAGGUUAAUCCUCCCAGGGUUAGCCGGAUCCUAAGCUGAGGCCGAAAGGCGUAGGUGAUGGGGAGCAGGUUAAUAUUCCUGCGCCAUCUUGUAGACGUUGAACCAAGAGAGGACGGAGAAGGUUAGGCGAGCCGGGUGUUGGAUGUCCCGGUCCAAAGCCGUAGGCGUGUCCCGUACGAUUAAAAGGCGGGGCUUUAACGUCGAGAGCUGAUGGCGAGCGCGUUAGCGCGAAGUCGUUGAUACCACGCUUCCAAGAAAAGUCUCGUGGGGAGUCUACAGGGUGUCCGUACCGCAAACCGACACAGGUGGGUGAGGAGAAAAUCCUAAGGCGAUUGAGAGAACUCUCUCCAAGGAACUCGGCAAAUUACCACCGUAACUUCGGAAGAAGGUGGGCCCUCCGUAGGUGUAGUCGUACAGACGAAGCCGAUGAGGGUUGCAGAGAAAUGGCGGUAGCGACUGUUUACCAAAAACACAGGACUCUGCGAAGACGACAAGUCGACGUAUAGGGUCUGACUCCUGCCCGGUGCUGGAAGGUUAAGGGGAUUCGUCAGCCGCAAGGUGAAGCGAUGAUCCGAAGCCCCAGUAAACGGCGGCCGUAACUAUAACGGUCCUAAGGUAGCGAAAUUCCUUGUCGGGUAAGUUCCGACCUGCACGAAUGGAGUAACGACUUCCGCGCUGUCUCGGAGAGGGACUCAGCGAAAUUGAAAUAGCUGUGCCGAUGCAGUUUACCCGCAGCAAGACGGAAAGACCCCGUGAACCUUUACUACAACUUGACAGUGACACUAGGGAUUGACCGA